AAUCUGGGGUCGCCGACCUCCGAGUUGUAAUUUGGAGAGGCAUCUUCGGGGUGGAGCGCCGGCCCCAUGUUCCUUGGAACAGGACGUCGCAGAGGGUGAGAAUCCCGUGCCAGGCCGGCCGCCUCCGCCCCAUCGAGGGGCCUUCGACGAGUCGAGUUGUUUGGGAAUGCAGCUCCAAGUGGGUGGUAAAUUUCAUCUAAAGCUAAAUACCGGCGGGAGACCGAUAGCGCACAAGUAGAGUGAUCGAAAGAUGAAAAGCACUUUGAAAAUAGAGUCAAAAAGUACGUGAAAUUGUUGAAAGGGAAGCGCUUGAGACCAGACCCAGACCCGGGCAAACACCGCGCCCCUCGGGGCCGUGCAAUUGCCCGUGGCUGGGCCAGCAUCAGUCGGCCCGGCGGGACAAAUGCGAGGGGAAUGUGUCUCCCCUCGGGGAGUGUUUAUUAGCCCCUCGCCCAAUGCCGCCCGAGCCGACUGUGGACCGCGCCUCGGCUAGGAUGCUGGCUUAAUGGCCUUCAGCGACCCGUCUUGAAACACGGACCAAGGAGUCUAACAUCUAUGCGAGUGUUUGGGCUUCAAACCCUUGCGCGGAAUGAAAGUGAGCGGAGGUGGGAACCCCCCCGCGGGGCGCACCAUCGACCGAUCCUGAUGUCCUCGGAUGGAUUUGAGUA
RNAcentral lists this ribosomal RNA (668 nucleotides) under Helvella solitaria. RNAcentral's name for it is "eukaryotic LSU rRNA". It matches the Rfam family "Eukaryotic large subunit ribosomal RNA", at positions 119 to 796 of the family's 3401-position model. The record is from RNAcentral. Lineage: Eukaryota; Fungi; Ascomycota; Pezizomycetes; Pezizales; Helvellaceae.